UACGGGGGGGGCAAGCGUUGUUCGGAAUUACUGGGCGUAAAGGGCUCGUAGGCGGCCAACUAAGUCAUACGUGAAAUCCCUCGGCUUAACCGGGGAACUGCGUCUGAUACUGGAUGGCUUGAGAUUGGGAGAGGGAUGCGGAAUUCCAGGUGUAGCGGUGAAAUGCGUAGAUAUCUGGAAGAACACCGGUGGCGAAGGCGGCUCUCUGGACCGAGACUGACGCUGAGGCGCGAAAGCGUGGGGAGCAAACAGG
RNAcentral lists this ribosomal RNA (253 nucleotides) under uncultured bacterium. RNAcentral describes it as "partial 16S ribosomal RNA". It matches the Rfam family "Bacterial small subunit ribosomal RNA", at positions 524 to 776 of the family's 1533-position model. The record is from RNAcentral.